Molecule: ribosomal RNA, 253 nt
Filed under: uncultured bacterium
Lineage: Bacteria
Description: partial 16S ribosomal RNA
Rfam family: Bacterial small subunit ribosomal RNA
Source: RNAcentral
UACAGAGGUCCCAAGCGUUGUUCGGAUUCACUGGGCGUAAAGGGUGCGUAGGCGGUCGGGUAAGUCUGAUGUGAAAUCUCCAAGCCUAACUUGGAAACUGCAUUGGAUACUAUCCGGCUCGAGGAAUGGAGGGGAGACUGGAAUACUUGGUGUAGCAGUGAAAUGCGUAGAUAUCAAGUGGAACACCAGUGGCGAAGGCGGGUCUCUGGACAUUUCCUGACGCUGAGGCACGAAAGCCAGGGAAGCAAACGGG